UGAUUGUGGAUCAUUUUUGUUCCAUUUUAAAAGAGUAAGAGUUAGGGUUCUUGAGUGAAGAAGAGAAGAAGAGAGAAAGAAGAGAAGAAGAAGAAGAAGUGGGAGCUAGGGUUGUGGAUGCAAGACGUUUUCUUCAUCAAAUUUCUUGGGGAAUCUUAGUAAAGGUAUGUGAGUUCUUUAUCUAGGGCAAGCUAUCACCCUAGAG
This 205-nucleotide long non-coding RNA is filed under the name Solanum tuberosum (potato). Its description in RNAcentral is "long non-coding RNA (STUB_LNC010788)". Lineage: Eukaryota; Viridiplantae; Streptophyta; Magnoliopsida; Solanales; Solanaceae. The record is from RNAcentral.